Eubalaena glacialis (North Atlantic right whale) is the source of this 2953-nucleotide long non-coding RNA. RefSeq lists it as uncharacterized. The record is from RefSeq and is a predicted model, not a curated record. Lineage: Eukaryota; Metazoa; Chordata; Mammalia; Artiodactyla; Balaenidae. The transcript has 8 exons.
GUGUCUGGCACAUAGUGGGCACUUAAAGCUGGUUUGGACUUGCAUUCAAUAGUUUUGAUGAACAUGAUCCUAAAGUUUUAAGGUCCAUGAGUGUUGGGAGGUAGGGAGAGACAAGAAUAAACUUUUUAUUUCCCUGAGAAAAUCAUAUGUUAUGUAAUAAUUUUAGAGUGAUGAAGACAUAGAUAUUUUUAUAAUUUUAAGAUACGUUAUCCUGCCAGAAUAUGAGAAGAUUGACAGAACCAGUUUGCUUGCUCUCUAUUUAUAGAACUUGGCCACAUCUAAUUCAGAGAAGCUGGAGAUUCAGGGACGCUAGACUUAGAUGACUGAGUAAUAUGGGAUGUGGUUCAAGGACUAUAGAGCAUGUCAAGCCAUUACUGCAAACUACUUAUAACAAAGGAAAUGUGAUCUAUUGCUAACUUCGUGUUCCCACCAUGGAGAGGUGAGGAUAAACAUUUUUGCCGUGGCCUGUCAGAUUCCCUUAACCUUGGGUCAGUCUCUUGACAAUGGCCAUCGAGAGAGCACGUGGAGUGCCCCUUGCCCUGCCUUGGCCUGCCGUGGAGAAACAGUCUUUGAAGAAUCACUGUCUAAGGAAUGAAGAAUUGAGAAGAGGUAAUAGCAACGGCGUGAUCUUUUGUUGGAACACCACUGAGCCCUGGUCCAGAGCUAAAUGAUGUGCUGUUCUACUUUGUUCCCCGUUGGAAACGUAUUGAUUCAAAACCUGGACCUAAUGGUUAUAACUAACUGCAUCUUUAGAACACAGGAAAUCUCAGGAAGUCAUUAAUGGUGUUAGAAGGCCUCAGACUUGAAGCUAAAGACGAGCAACUGCAACCUGUUCCUUUAUGCUGGUGAGAGCUGAAACGAGGACUCAGUGCAGCCAGCACUGGCUGGGACCCUUCUUGGUGACACACUGUGCUGGCCGUGGCCGAGCCUGCAGACUUGGGUGAUACGGAUGCUGCUGACCAGAGACCACACUUUGAGACCCAUUGACUUUGAGGAAGUGAUACUUGACUUGAGCGUUUUGGGGAAAAUCUGGCAGCAGGACUAGCCAACACCAACUGAUUACCAGUCUGCCUGGAGAGCUGUGUUGAGAAGGAUUCUGAAGCUGAGAAUGGACCCAGCACUGUGGAGCUAAGUCAUGUGAGCUGGAGAGUGUGGAAACCUACUUCUUUCGGAACCUGAAACCUACCUCCAUUGCCUGUGGCAAGAUUAAUCCGGUGGCAUCCACUCACUUGCCAAAGGCUCUCAAAUACAAGGGAAACGAACGCGAAGUAACAACGCAGAGACAGCGUCGCUGGGACCUGUGCAGUGCUGGGAGAUGUGCCAACUGGGAGACUUGACACCUUCACGUGCCUGACCCGGAGGCUCCCGCUAUCCCUGCAGGACUGGCUGGCACUGCGUGUUGCCCUCGUUUUAAUAUCCUAGAUCCUCAGGGUCCCCGGGUCAGAGGUGGAGCCACAGAGGAGAGAAGGAACAGUGAGAUGAAGACUUAACUCCCCGGAGAGGGUCGUCCUAAAACCAUCUGCCCAAAACGAACAAGGAGGAAGACGCCAAGAGGACACAGUCCUAGGCUCAGCUUUUCCACAAAUGAUGCAACUUCAGGCAAGUCGCUUUCCCUCCCUGGGCCUUCGUUCCCUCAUCCGUACAACGGGGACAAUGCCGGCGUCCCCACCCAGGGUUGUGGUGAGGAUGGAAUGCUCCCAGGUCCUGAGACACUGAAGCACUGGGCGAGCCCUGCUCAGCUCUCGUCUAAUGGGACUUGGCCCCGCUCGGAUCCCUGGUCCCUCUGCUCUAUGGGGAAAGGGCCAGCCUAGCUCAUCUCUGGGGAGCCCUUGCUCUGUGUUCUGAGCCACCUGCAGUCCCCGCAUCCCGGGGACAGGCGCCCCAACCCCGACCUGUACUCGGCUCCCCAGCCCUUGACGAAGCUCAUGCGGAUGGUGCACAUCCGGGUCAGCUGGUACACGGCCUCGAAGCCCUGGUUGACAGACUGAGCCAGGAGGGCAGCAAACUCCUGGUUGUUGAAGAUCUUCAGGUUGCAUCCUGCAAACAGAACAAAAACAGUGCUCGUGGGGACGAAGAGUGCACUUGUCCGGAGCUCCUCUCCUGGCUAAAGCCCCCCCCGCCGGGUCACCUGGACCGGUGUUCCCAUAUUAGCCACAGAUUCCACGCUCAGCACCACACUGGGGGCGGGCCCACGUGGUCCCUGCCCCUGAAGCCAUCACCGCCUUGAUGGGGAGAUGCAGCUGACACAGCAUGCCUCCUCACCCGAAGAGCUAGAAUAACUGGUGAGGACUAAGUGAGCCCCAAGACAGCCGUGUGCUCUGUAAACGCAACCACACGACGUUCCGGAAAUGGAGAGCACCACAAGCAUCUCAGACGCUUUGCAUUCUUAAGUGGAUCCAUCCCAUGACCCACCGCUCCACCAUCACCUGCUACUUAGUGAGCAGGAAGACAUGCCACACACGUGCCGCAGGCAAUGGACUGAGCCACACACUCUACCCACCGGGCAUAGUCCACACUCUGCGGCUGCGUGCCCUGGGAGAAGUGGGCUUCGGCGGGGGCUUCCUGCCUCAGCUUUCUAAAUAAAGAGGCCUUGGAUGAGAUCAGCCACCUGCCUGGUCAUCUACCCAGGCCUGGCCCUGUCCAAGCCACCCUCUGGGGUGAGCCUGCCACCCCUUGGAGUACAGGUGGGACUCGUAGCCCUACUCAGAAAACCCUCAACAGUCCCCCUGAAUAAAAGCAAAACUUUCUCAUGUCCUUCCAUGGCCUGGUCCCAUCAUGUUUUCUAAACAUGUCUCCCGACUGUCGUUUAAACGGCCUCCACUGCAGGCAGAGUGCAGCCCACGUGUGCCCUGCCCUCCAUCACCUCUGGGCCUUCGCCCAUAUCGUUCCCUCUGCCUGGAAUGCCCUCACGGUCCCCGCCCCACCAUCACCCUAUGCCUAAUGCUUACCUACC